ACUCCCUUCUCCCUCCAUCCUAUUUUAAAAACUUUGAUCAUCUAUUUUAUUUAAAUUUUUUUAUAAUUAAUUUUUUAUUGUUAUGAGAUAAUAAAACAUGAAUAGUACUUUAUACGUGACUUAUGUUUUUAAAUUUUUUUCAAAUUUUUUUACAUAAGACGGAUGGUCAAAGUUUUGUGUAUGAAAAAUUAUAGUUGCACUUAAA
Molecule: microRNA precursor, 205 nt
Filed under: Oryza sativa Indica Group (long-grained rice)
Lineage: Eukaryota; Viridiplantae; Streptophyta; Magnoliopsida; Poales; Poaceae
Description: MIR812 microRNA precursor family
Rfam family: MIR812 microRNA precursor family
Source: Rfam by way of RNAcentral